UCCAAUAGCGUAUAUUAAAGUUGUUGCAGUUAAAAAGCUCGUAGUUGAACCUUGGGUCUGGCUGGCCGGUCCGCCUCACCGCGUGCACUGGUCCGGCCGGGCCUUUCCUUCUGGGGAGCCCCAUGGCCUUCACUGGCUGUGGGGGGUAACCAGGACUUUUACUGUGAAAAAAUUAGAGUGUUCAAAGCAGGCCUUUGCUCGGAUACAUUAGCAUGGAAUAAUAGAAUAGGACGUGCGGUUCUAUUUUGUUGGUUUCUAGGACCGCCGUAAUGAUUAAUAGGGAUGGUCGGGGGCGUCAGUAUUCGGCUGUCAGAGGUGAAAUUCUUGGAUUUGCCGAAGACUAACUACUGCGAAAGCAUUCGCCAAGGAUGUUUUCAUUAAUCAGUGAACGAAAGUUAGGGGAUCGAAGACGAUCAGAUACCGUCGUAGUCUUAACCAUAAACUAUGCCGACUAGGGAUCGGACGGUGUU
Molecule: ribosomal RNA, 470 nt
Filed under: uncultured eukaryote
Lineage: Eukaryota
Description: SSU rRNA
Rfam family: Eukaryotic small subunit ribosomal RNA
Source: RNAcentral